UGCCCAGCAACUCCUAUCCCUACCUACUCGCGGUACUGGCCGGGAAGAUCGGGUAGCCAACCCCGGUGGGAACUCUGGUCGUAUGCUGACAGGGAAGG
Molecule: ribozyme, 98 nt
Filed under: Aedes aegypti (yellow fever mosquito)
Lineage: Eukaryota; Metazoa; Arthropoda; Insecta; Diptera; Culicidae
Description: drz-agam-1 ribozyme
Rfam family: drz-agam-1 ribozyme
Source: Rfam by way of RNAcentral